This 9217-nucleotide ribosomal RNA is filed under the name Metschnikowia borealis. Lineage: Eukaryota; Fungi; Ascomycota; Pichiomycetes; Serinales; Metschnikowiaceae. The record is from RNAcentral.
AGGUGAUAUAUUGAAAAAAGGUAUAUGUAAUAAAUAUUAUUUUAAGGAUUACGAAUCAAAAUUUAAAUAAUGAUAAAAAGAUCAAAACUGUAAUAAACAGUGAUCAAUCAUAAUCAUGAAAAUGAAAAAAAAUAAAAACAAGUGGAAUGAAACAUCUGAGUAACUUGUUAAAUAACCAACAGGGAUAAUAUAAGUAACGGUGAGUGAAAAUAUAAAAAUCUUAAAGUAUUGCCAAGAGGUAAGAAUAAAGUAGUUUCCAACUACUAAGAAAUAAAAUUAAAUUUUAGAUUAAAGUACCGCAAGGGAAAGUAAAGAAAUAGAAUAAUAAAGAGCAGUUAUAGUAUAACGUACCUCUUGUAUAAGUGCGACAAGAAGCAUUAAUAAUUAAUGUGGUUAAAUUCCACCAAAUCUUUUCCAUUGAUUUGACCCUAUCUAUACAUGCUGAAGGAGUAAUCAUCAGUGUGAAGCUAUAGAGACAAUGUAACAAUAAUCCCAUCUUUAAUAUAUAUUAAAGGUCGGAGUGCUAGGGUGAGUAAUUCUAUGAUGAACAAAAGUGAACAUGCCUGGAGGCUUCGUAAGAGGUGUAUCAAAUUUAACAACAGCUAGCUGUAGUAAAAAAUGAUAACUGUUAAGUCAAAUCUUUCUUAUACUGGGGUUUGAAAUGGAACAUAUUUAACACGGAGUAAAGCAUAGCAUCUAAGGAAUUUAGAUUAUAUAGUUUAUACUGUAUAAUACUCGGUAUUAAUUUAUUAAAUUAAUUCCGGGAGUAAUGUAAUUAUUAGUGAACUUGGUAAGCCCUAAAUUCUCUAAAUAUGGGCCCCCCCGAAGGGGGGGCCGAUAUUAUAUACCCCCCGAAGGGGGGGGAUAAAUAUUAAUUUAUUUAGAGGUAACAUAUAAAGAGAAAUUGGAAGUUGUUAUAACGAAUUCAGGGUAUAAGAAUGAUUCAAAAAGCGAAUGCAGAUUAGUAAUAGAUCUGAUAGAGUUUUAUAACUUAAUCCGAGAGGAUGCAGACUUGAAUCAAUGUGAUCAUCGUAACUAUUCAGCCCCUAAAAAGGCGAUAUGAUAAUCUGAAGCUUUCGGUAGAUUAUUAUAGGAAUCUUGUCUAUUUAACCGGUUUAACCGGAAUAUUCAUCUAAGGUUCAAAAUUGUAAAUUACAAUUAAGGAAAUAAAGUAGUAUCGAUUUAUUAAUUAAUUAUUUACCUUUGGGUAAAUUUUUAAGGAAGUAAAUUGGCGAAUAAAAGAACUUUUAUAAAUAAAUAAGCUUAUUAAAAUUAUUAUAUGUUAAUAAUGAAAAAAUGUCAAAACAGUAAAUAAGACAAACUAAGUUAAAUGGUUAACUCGAUAAAAUACCAUUAAGUUAUUAGUGUUGCUAAAAAAAAAAAUUUAUAUUCGAUUUGAAUGUUUAACACUAUUUAUUGGGUGAAUUAUUUGAUCAAAUAAAAAAACGAAAUAUAAUAAAUAACAAAGAUAAAAAUUUUUAAACUUAAACUUAAACAAAAAAAACAUGAUGAGAAUUUUAAUGGAAUCCAGAUUAUAUGCUGGCAAAUAUAUAUUAACAUCCUUUAGAGGAUAUAGAAAUUAUUUAUUAGGAAUGAUGUGAUAUAAAGGAUUAUUUAUAAAUAAGAAUUUUAUAUUUGCAACAGGUGUAAGAUUUAAAAGUAUAAAUAAAAAAUCGAAAGAUUCCCGGCUUAGUCGGGUUAAUUCAAAUAUUUGACAUAUGAUAAAUUGAGAGAAAGCUGAAAAAAAAGUAAAAGAUCUACAAGAGAAAAUAGUUAUUGCUACAUUAAAUAAUGAUAUAAAAGAAGUGUAUAAAUUACAAUGAAUUUUAUUACAAAGUUUUGAAGCUAAAAGUUUGGCAAUAAGAAAAGUUGUAACUAAUAAAAAUGGGAAAACAGCCGGAAUAGAUGGUAUAAUAUGAAAUAAUCCAAAAGAUUAUUCAUUAGCUAUCUUAGAAUUAUCCGCUAUUUUGAAAAAUCCUCAUAAUUAUAAAUCAAAACCCUUAAAAAGAAUAAAUAUUCUAAAAGAUAAUUAUUCAAAGGAAUUAAGGUCUAUAAUUAUUCCUACAAUGAUAGAUAGAGCUGUUCAAACUAUAUACUAUUUAGCUAUAGAUCCUGCAGUAGAAACUAAAUCUGAUCCUCAUUCAUAUGGGCAUAGAAAAAAUAGAUCUACUCAUGAUGCCAUUACUUCAAUAAGAGGUUUAACUGAUAAAAGUUAUCAUCCUAGAUGAAUUUUAAAAGUUGAGAUAUCUAAAUGUUUUGAUAAAUUAGAUCAUAAUUUUUUAUUAAAGCAUACCCCGAUAUGUCAUAAAUCUGUUUUAAAAGAAUGACUUAAAACUGGAGUAAUGGAAGAAUUAAAUUACAUUGAAAGAGUGGAUAAUAUACCCCAAGGAGGUAUUAUAUCUCCCUUGCUUUGUAAUAUAGCAUUUAAUGGUUUAGAGAAAUUCAUUAAAGAUGCUAAUCCCCCUAAUAAAAAAAAAAUAAAAGCAAAAGUAUAUGUUAUAAGAUAUAUUGAUAAUAUAAUUAUAACAGGUAUAACUAAAGCAUUAGUAAUUCGUAAUAAAGAAUUAUUAAUUCAAUUUUUAAAGAUUAGGGGUUUAGAACUUAAUGAAAAAAAUACUCUAAUUUCUCAUAUAAAAAAAGGAUUUGAUUUUUUAGGAUUUAAUAUUCGAAGAAUGAAAUGAAAUUUUAAACUUAAUAAUUCUAGUAAACAAGAUACUGUAUUAAUUAUUAAACCUUCGAAAGAAGCGAUAAGUAUUUUGAAAAAUACUAUUAAAAAUAUAAUAACUAUGAAUAAACCUUUAAUCACUAUAAUUAGGACAUUAAAUCCUAUUUUAAGUAAAUGAGGGGUAAAUAAGAGAAUAUCUUAUCAUUCACAGGAAACUUUUAUUAGUAUUGAACAUUAUAUUUAUAUAAAAAUGAAAAAAUGAGUAUAUUGAAAAGGAGGAUCAUUAAGAAAAAAAAUGAGAAAUUACUUGCUGACUACUGAAACAAGAAAAUGAAAUUGAGGUAUUUCUUUAAAGGAUAAACUUAUUAAUAUAAGUGAAAUACCUAUCAUAUUAUUAAGACCUUUAAAACUUGACAGAAAUCCAUAUUUGUCUGAAAAUAUUGAAUAUUUUAAUAUUAGAAAGUCACAUAUUGAAAUGGAUAAUUUCAGAGCAGCCAUUUAUAAAAAGUACAAACAUACAUGUCCUAUAUGUAAAAGUACUCUAUAUAAUGGGGAACUAGUGGAAUUGCAUCACAUCAUUCCACAAAAAGCCCAAGGAAAAUAUAGUUUAACCAAUAUACUUCCACUUCAUCAAGUUUGUCAUAAACAGGUUACCCAUGGUAACCUGUCUUUAGAAAGAUUUAAGAUAGCUUUACCAAAAAAGGCUAUCAAGAGUCGGAAUAAAAAACAAACUUAAUUUAGGGAUCCUAGGAUCUCUAAUCCCGGCAAUAGGCCGGGUAUUCGUUAAAAAUCGGUAAAAUAUACUGAAGUAUAAUAACGAAUAUUAUAUCAUAAAUUAUUGGCUAAGAAAAAGUAAGGAACGAUUCUCCAAAACGAGGGAUAGAAAUUACAUUCGAGUAUGGUUGCAUGAGCCGUAUGCGAUGAAAGUCGCACGUACGGUUCUAAUGGGGGGAAAGCCUGAGAGGGCCUACCUAUCCUGAUUGGGCCAGUGAGUUAUAUAAUUUAGUGAAAAAAAAAUAAAUUUUUAUAUAUAAAUAGAAAAAAAUUAAAUUAUAUAGGCCCGAAAGCAAACGAUCUACACAUGUCCAAGUGUAUAUAUAAUCAAUAAUAGGUUUAUAUAUGACUCAAUAGGUAAUUGUAGCAAUAAUUUCUAAAGAGGUGUGUGUAGCUGUGACAGACAAAUCUGGUUUGCAGAUAGCUGGUUUUCUGCGAAAUAUAUUUUAGUAUAGCCUUUAUACAUAUUUAAACUGGUACAGCACUUAAAUAACUUUGGGGAAUUAGAAUAUAAUUUUAUCAAAAUAUUUAAACCUCGAAAUCAGUUAAUAAUAAUAUAAGGAGUCAGACUUAUUGCGAUAAGGUAGUAGGUCGAGAAGGAAACAACCUAGACUAUUAAAUGAAUGUCCCAAAUAUUAAUUAAGUGAACAAAAUCUAUCCUACUUUUAUAAAAAUAAUAAUAUGCCCGCCGAAGGCGGGAUAUAAUAUCCCAUUCAUUAGUGAAGGGAUAUCUAUAAAAUUAUUAAAUAAAUAAUAUAUGAGGUAUUAAAUUAUAGACAAUUAGUAAGUGGGUUUGACAAUAAUCAACUUUUAAUGAACAUGUAACAAUGCACUAAUUUUAUAUAUAUAUAUAAAUAUAUAUAUUUAUUAAUAAUAGAGAAAAUAUAUCGGGUCUAAAUUAAUAACAGUAUUAUAGAUAUAAUGAAAAAGAUGAUCAUUAUAUGGUAGCAGAAUAUAUAAUGAAAAAUUAUAAAGAGAUUGCUGGCUUGAGUAACGAUAGAUAAUAUAAGAUUAUCCCCUUAUUCAUAAGGUUUUACUAUAAACGAACGGUCCCUAAGAUAAUUAUAGAAAUAUAAAAUUGAUGGGUGAAAGAACAAGAAAAAAGAAAUGAACCGUACUGUAGACCGACACAGGUAUGAUAAAAAGGGAAUGGGAUAACUACUUUGAAUGAACUCGGCAAAAUAAAUCGUGCGACUGUUUACCAAAAACAUAGCUUAUUGCAUACUAGUAAUAGUAAGUAUAAUAAGUGAUAUCUGCCCGGUGUUAGUUUAAUAAAUAUUAUUAUUUAAUAGAUAAUUUUAUAAAAAACUGAUAAACGGCGGUCUUAUUGUGAGGAUCCGAAGGUAGCGGUGCGACAAGAAGCUCGUAAUAGGAAUGUGUUGAGAGAACACAAUUAACAAUCAUAUUUAAUUAACCUACUUUGACAUGCAUAAGGAGUAAUCUUUCUGUGUGAAGCUCAAAGGACAACGACUAUAAGCUUUAGCUGAUAUAAGUGAAUUAGGCUAGGUUAGAACAACAUGGUUAGUAUAUCGAAAUAGUGGAAUUUAAAAUCUCGUUAGAGGAAAAGUAACAUAAUCAGCUUAGUUACUAUGUGAUUUGGGGUAUUUUGACGCUACGGAAAUACCUAUAUGAUUUAAAAUUAAAAAAAUCACCGGGAUAUAGCUAUGACCUAAAUUGUUCAUUAAAGUCCUAUUACGGGAACUUGGUAAGCCUUAUAUCCCCUUAUAUCAACCUGUUUUAGGUAAAAUAUAAGAAGUAAUCUAUAAAAUUAAAUUAACACUUAAUGGAAAUUAUUAUAAAGGAUAUAAGGUAAAGGAUAAAUAUAAAAAGCUAAUGACUUAAUGUAAUGUUAGGUAUAGAGUAAUACUUAAUCUGAAAAGAUGCUGACUUAUAUAUAAAGCUAUUGAAUUGCAAUUUAUGUGGGAGUAGUUGCGUUAAAUCUCUAUGUAUUUCAGAAAGUCUAUUCCUAGACAGAAAACUUAGACCCAGAUUUACGAUAUAUUUAUUAAAAUAUAUCUAUAGAGUUAGAAAUAACUUAAAAAAAAAAUAUAUUAUAAAAAAAAUGAAAAGAACUAUAAACACAAUUAACUGAAAUUUAAUUGACUGAAAGCAAAUAAAAGCUCAAGUCUAUAAGUUACAAUUAAAGAUUGUAACAACUAAUUCAAAUGGAGACUUUAAGAAGGUUAAAGAAUUAUCGUUACAAAAAUCAUUAGUUAGAACUCAUAUAGCUAGAUUAUUAGCUAUAAAUAAUGUAUUAUCUUCAAAAGGAAGUCAAACUCCUGGAAUUGAUGGCUUUAUUGUCAAAAAUGAUGAAGAUAAAUAUCAUUUAUAUGAAUUCUUGAAACAAAUUAAUAAGUAUGAAGCGUUACCUGUCAAAAGAGUGGAAAUAUCAAAAGGAAAUGGUAAAACAAUACCUCUAGGUAUUCUCUCUAUCCAAGAUAGAUGUAUGCAAAGUUUAUUUGCACUUGCAUUAUUUCCAUAUGCUGAAAUAAAAGCUGACUAUACUUCUUAUGGAUUUAGACCAAAUAGAUCAACAAAUGAUGCCAUAUAUAUAUUAUAUAAGAGUCAAUUCAUAAAAAAUGACAUACAUCCUAAAGUAAACUGAGUGUUAAAUGGAAAUAUCAAGGGUUUCUUUGAUAACAUUUUUAAUGAAUGAAUAAUAGAGAACAUACCUAUUGAAAAGAAAGUAUUAAAAAAAUUAAUUAAAGCAGGUUUCAUAGAAGCGGGCUUUAGUGAAAUACAAUCUACAGAUUUAGGAGUAUCACAAGGUGGAAUAAUUUCACCUAUGAUUGCUAAUAUGACUCUAGAUGGAUUAUCAGCUUACAUAAAAGAAGGUCUUAAAAAGAAAGGUAUUUAUGAUAACUUGAUUAAUAAGACACGUGUUAUUAGAUAUGUUGAUGAUUUUGUAAUUAUAUGUCCUCAUAAGUGGGUUGCUGAAAGAUGUCUUAGCUUAACUAAGAAUUUUCUGGAAGUAAGAGGUCUAAAUUUAGAUAAAACAAAGAUAGUUGAUUUAUCGAAAGAUAGGUUAGAUUAUUUAGGUUUUUCUAUUAUAAGAACUAAUCAGAAUACUAAAACAUUAAUAAUACCUAACCCAGAUAAAGUUAAAGUAUUUAUUAAUAAAGUACUUAAUAUUAUCAAAGGUUGCAACACACCUAAAGAGAUAAUUACUAAACUUAACCCUGUUUUACAAGGUUGAGCUAAUUAUUACAAAGGUUGCUCAGCUUCUACUACUUUUAAUAAGGUACAUAUGAGCAUACAUGAAGGUUUAUUAAAAUGAGGUAAGAAAAGGUUAUUAACCAGAUCUAAUAAAAUAGUAUAUGAUAAAUAUUUUAAAAGUAUAGAUAAAAAUUCGAAAGAGUUAUAUUUUUACUAUAUAGAUCAUCAAGGAAAAGAGGUAAAAUUAUAUGAUAUAAAAGCUAUUAAGAUUAUAUACCAUAAAUACAAUAUUAAACCUUAUUUCAAAACUAAUGAAUAAAGUUAUGAUUAUUAUAAUGAUUAUGAUAAUGAUAAUCUCUCUAAAAUAUUCGAAUGAUGAAAGUCAUGGCGGUCUUUAUUGAACCGUUUUCAAUAGUUUGAGCCGUAUGCAGUGAAAGUUGCACGUACGGUUCUCGAGGGGGGAAAGCUUGUGAGAGCCUACCUAUCCUAACAAAUUCAUUGACGUAUAAUUGACGUCCUGCAUGAAUGAAUAUACGAUGCGAUAACUGUAUCCAAAGUAGACUCAGUGAAAUAGCAAUUGCGGUGAAGAUGCCGUAUAUCCGUAGGUUGACAAAAAGACCCUAUGCAGCUUUACUAUAUCUUUAUUUUGAUUUUUAAUCAUAAUAAAAUUAUGAUUAGCCUUUUUUCAUUUAUUUCAGUAGAUUAGGUUAUAUUUAUAUUUUAAAUCAAAUGAGAUACCUAUAUAUUUGAAAAAAGAAUCUAAUUAAUAUAGUCAAAAUUCUAUAAUAUAGAAUGUUAGUUAUACUAAUUGACUUAAGUUUAACUUAUUUAAGAAAGAGUAAAGAGGUUAGUUUCGAUGGGGCGUCGACAUCAGCGAAAGCAUCUGAUGUGUCUAAUAACAAUGAUCUUGAUUAGAUUUAAUAAUUAAGACUAAAUGUUUAAUUAAAUUUAUUAUUUAAUAGUAAAUAACGUACAAUAAUUCUAUAUGGUAAAUAGAAUAUAAUAUUAUAAGUAAGGAUAACAACAUAAUUGUGCGAUGAUAAUAACACUAACAAGUGGAAUUAGUACUUACGUAGAGUGUAGUGAACAGGCAUAAACAAAUGGUAUGGAUGUCGAUAACGGAUUAACCGCGUGAGAGUUGAUAUCGUCAGCGGUGUUUGCCACCUCGAUUAAUAACGAUAGUCGAGUAUAAAUAGGUUAAAUUGCAAGAAAUCUAAGGUUUUAUCUAUGAUGAUUUGCAGCGAAUUAUUAUUUAUAUGAAUAAUAUAUUUAUAUUAUAAAAAUAAUAAACGUUCAACGACUAGUAGGUGAGUACAUAUAACAAUAUCCUACCAAGAAAUACCUAUAAAAUUUUUAUUUUAUUUUUAUUUUAUAUAAGAAAUUUAUUAUUAUAUAUGCUUGCCCCCAGCUAAGCUUCAGGCUAUUAUUUAUUCCUACACUUCGAGGAUUCAGUGUUUUACCUGAUUUAUCCAGAGCCUGAUUUAUUCAGGUAAUUUAUUUCGUUAGGUUAAAUAUAAAUAUUAAAAUAUCUACAAAAAUGGAAAACAUAUAUUGUCAAAAUAAUUACUAAUUUGAAAGUUAAAUCAACCAGAUUUAACACAAAAACAAUUAAAUAUAUUAAUUGGUAUGAUUUUAAGUGAUGCUUGUAUUAUAAAAGAUAAUAAAUAUCCUUAUAUUUAAUUUGAGCUAGGAUAUCAACAAAUAGAAUUUAUACAAACUUUAUUUGAUAUAUUUAAAACUCAUACUUUUAGUGAUAAAAUUAGUAUAAGAAAGAAAAAGAUAUAAUACAUAGUUAUUGAUUAAAAACUUUUUCUCAUCGAAUAUUUGAAAUAAUAUAUAAUCUAUUCUAUAUUUCUUCUUUAGGAGAAAAAACGAAUAAAAAAAUAAUUAAACCAAAUUUAAUUAUUGAUUAUGUAAAUGAAUAAUCAUUAGCUUAUUGAAUAAUGGGAGAUGUAAUUUUACAUAAAAGAGAUAAAAUAUAUAGUUUAGAUACUGAAGGUUUUACCUUUGAUGAAUGUAAAAUUGAAUUAAAUUAAAUUAAAAUAGUAGUGUUAGAAUAUCUAGAAAAACGAAUAAAAAAAUAGAUAUAAAUAAGUUUUUAGAACUAAUGAUACUAAAUUAAUAAGUAAAUUAAUUAAAGCAUAUAUAAUAAAAUCUUUGGAAUAAAAAAUAAUAUAAAAAUAAAUAAAAAUUUUAAAGACAUAGUCUGAACAAUAAUGAAAAUUAUUGAAGUUAAUAAUAAAGAUGUUAACGAUAACAAAUUGGUCGUCUAGACUCGUCCUCCUGGUCGCAGCAACUAGGUAGGGUAGGACUGUUCGUCCUCUAAGGAGUUACUUGAGAUGGGUUAAUUACGACGUGAGUCAGUAAUGAUUUUAUCAUCUAUGGAUUUUUUACUUAUCUGUUGCCUUAAGUGUACGCAAGGAUAAUAAGGUACAUUCCUAUGGUUAAUAAAAUAUUUUAGCUAAGAAUGUUGUGUUUACAUAUUGAAUGCAUAUCAAAUAUAAAAUCCUUCAGAUAAGUUUAUACAUUAUAGACUAUAAUGUAUUAGUUAAUUUGUAAUAUUGCAAAUAUACUAAUUAAUUAACUCAUAUUUUAUAAUUAUGAGUAUUAAAACAUAUACCU